AUGAGGGGACUCAGGCAGAGGACUUCCCCAAUCCGUCCGGGGGGGAGCGAGUGUGUUUUUGUCCCCUAUCUGCUAAGAGGCGUCGGAUUUCUAAUCCAUCCGUUCCUCCGAGGGCUUCUGGAAUGUUAUGGCCUCCAGCUGCACAACUUCACUCCGGCCUCUAUUCUGCACAUUGCGGGUUAUGUCGCUUUAUGUGAACUUUUCCUGGGCGUCGAGGCUCACUUCGAGUUGUGGAGGAAGCUGUUUUGUCUCGUCCCGCGCAAUCACGAAGGGUCAAUAUUUGAAGUGGGCAGAGCCGAAGUGUGGCGCGUCGCCGAUACCGGAUAUCCAUCCGGCACACCAAGGAAGGCACCUGAUGAAUGGCCCUCUGAAUGGUUUUAUAUAGAGGAUGUUGCGCUUCCUGACCCGAUUCAAAAGGGUCUUCCUGAAUUUGCUCGUGUCCCGCUGAAGAAACGCCACAGUUGGCGUCCCCGGAGUCUUGAAGAGGAAGACGGCGCGGAGGUUCGUCAGCUGAUGAGCAGGAUAAGACAUCUCACUCGGUCCGGACUCACACUAAUCGAGGUUAUGGCGAUUUCCAUAGCGCGAGGGGUUCAACCGCUCCAAUACAAAGGGCUUCCCAUGUGGCACUAUAAUGGGGAGGACGACGCUUCUCGCUGCGGUCGGAAAGGUCCGGAUACCCCUGCCGCUUUGGCUAAGAUAUUAGCCGAACUGUUUAAAGGGGAGGAAAAGGAAUUUCUCCGCAUCAAAUCUAGAGACGGGUACUCUAUGUAUAACCCUCCCAGCUGGGUAAGGCCCGACCCCUCCGUUUUUUACUUCUUACAUCUCCAAACUGCUUUUGAUAAACUUCUAGCUCGUUUGCUUAUGACAGCACUGGCGAAAGGUCACCGAGGGAUUUUAUAG
Molecule: ribosomal RNA, 900 nt
Filed under: Triticum aestivum (bread wheat)
Lineage: Eukaryota; Viridiplantae; Streptophyta; Magnoliopsida; Poales; Poaceae
Description: partial small subunit ribosomal RNA
Source: RNAcentral